GUCCACGCCCUAAACUAUGAUCACUCGAUGUGUGCGAUACACUGUACGCGUCUGAGCGAAAGCAUUAAGUGAUCCACCUGGGAAGUACGGCCGCAAGGCUGAAACUCAAAGGAAUUGACGGGGGCCCGCACAAGCGGAGGAGCAUGUGGUUUAAUUCGAUGAUACGCGAGGAACCUUACCUGGGCUUGAAAGUUAGUGAAUGCCGUAGAAACAUGGCAGCAAGCAAUUGCACGAAACUAGGUGCUGCAUGGCUGUCGU
Molecule: ribosomal RNA, 258 nt
Filed under: uncultured bacterium
Lineage: Bacteria
Description: partial 16S ribosomal RNA
Rfam family: Bacterial small subunit ribosomal RNA
Source: RNAcentral